GUCUCAGUUCGGAUUGGAGUCUGCAACCCGACUCCAUGGAGCUGGAUUCGCUAGUAAUCGCGCAUCAGCCACGGCGCGGUGAAUACGUUCCCGGGCCCUUGUACACACCGCCCGUCAAGCCAUGGGAGCCGGGGGUACCUGAAGUGCGUGACCGCAAGGAGCGCCCUAAGGUAAAACCGGUGACUGGGGCUAAGUCGUAACAAGGUAUC
This 209-nucleotide ribosomal RNA is filed under the name uncultured bacterium. RNAcentral's name for it is "partial 16S ribosomal RNA". It matches the Rfam family "Bacterial small subunit ribosomal RNA", at positions 1285 to 1500 of the family's 1533-position model. The record is from RNAcentral.